GAACACAUACAGAUUGUCUAUAGAUCUCGCUGCUCAAUUUAGGUGGACAACAAUAUCCCUGGUCGUCGUCAGCUGAAUGGUCCUUAAGAUAUAGUUUCUAGAAACUUAGGAUCAUAUAUAAUAUCUAGGAACUUAGGAUCACAUUGUCUUGUCACUUAUAGUAUGUCCUAAUUUUGUCACAAUUUUUCGUGUAUAAGUGGACAACAAUAUCGGCGAUCGACCAGACAAAGACGUGAAGAUGGAAGGUACCGACAAGCGGAUAAAGGUUGUCUAAAAACUUUGAUCCCAAUUUCUUAAAGUUAGAUAUCAUUUUAUUUUUGUUAAAUUUGUUCAUAGUUUUCCUCUAUGCACAAAUUUUAGGGGGAGAAUUAAAAAUAAUUCAAAAAUCAAACAAAAAUUAGAAAAUUAAAAAUCCAAAAAUAGUGUUAUUUCUUGUUCAGAAAAAUCAGAAAAUCCAAAAAUAUUAUCUUUCUGUUUUUAUUUUUCCAGAAAAUAUCAAAAAUCCAAAAAUAUUUUUUUUGUGUGCUAAUUUUGCUUUUAGUUUGUUUUGUCUUGAAAAGUGAUUUCAUGUAUAGGUAAGACUCAUGGAGUUUGUGUUGAAGAUUUCUGAGCCAAAGCCUCGUUCGUGAGCAUCGAAGAAUUCGCAUUCGAAGGAGCAAGAAAUGAAGACUAUUCUUCCAUCAUUAAUCUGUCAACACCAAAAGCAUGGUGAAGCUGUACUUGAAGAAUAUGUGACAAAUUACAUUGAAGCCUCCUCAAUCAAUUUGCUUCUAUCUAUGAACCUGCUGAGGUGAUCUAGAAGAUUAUUUCUCUCCGGUGUUCUCUCUGAAGAUUCUCAAGCUGAAAGUGCUAUCUUUCAAGAAUCUUUUCAUCAUGCCUCGUCGUAAUCUGUCAACACCAAAAGCAUGGUGAAGCUGUACUUGAAGAAUAUGUGACAAAUUACAUUGAAGCCUCCUCAAUCAAUUUGCUUCUAUCUAUGAACCUGCUGAGGUGAUCUAGAAGAUUAUUUCUCUCCGGUGUUCUCUCUGAAGAUUCUCAAGCUGAAAGUGCUAUCUUUCAAGAAUCUUUUCAUCAUGCCUCGUCGCCCAAUAUGCGUUCAGAGUCAAAUCUUGAAGAAAAGCCCAACCGCUCGAGAUGAAGUCAUUCAUGAAGAUUCAUCAAGUUCAUCUUGAAGCUGUGAAGAAAUCAAAGAUUAAAGCUGAAGCCAAAGCUCCCAUUGAAGAUUGACAAGAAAAGCCAGCUACUUUUUAGGGGGAGUUUGUUGGGCCAAUUAGAAAAGAAAGCUAUAAACCAAGGGGGAGAUUGUUGGGUCAAAA
RNAcentral lists this long non-coding RNA (1316 nucleotides) under Lactuca sativa (garden lettuce). Its description in RNAcentral is "long non-coding RNA (LSAT_LNC007615)". The record is from RNAcentral. Lineage: Eukaryota; Viridiplantae; Streptophyta; Magnoliopsida; Asterales; Asteraceae.